RNAcentral lists this ribosomal RNA (565 nucleotides) under uncultured Glomeromycotina. Its description in RNAcentral is "SSU rRNA". It matches the Rfam family "Eukaryotic small subunit ribosomal RNA", at positions 548 to 1114 of the family's 1831-position model. Lineage: Eukaryota; Fungi; Glomeromycota. The record is from RNAcentral.
UUGGAGGGCAAGUCUGGUGCCAGCAGCCGCGGUAAUUCCAGCUCCAAUAGCGUAUAUUAAAGUUGUCGCAGUUAAAAAGCUCGUAGUUGAAUUUCGGGGUUAGUAGGUUGGUCAUGCCUCUGGUAUGUACUGGUCUCACUGAUUCCUCCUUCCUGAUGAACCUUAAUGCCAUUUAUUUGGUGUUUUGGGGAAUUUGGACUGUUACUUUGAAAAAAUUAGAGUGUUUAAAGCAAGCUAACGCUUGAAUACAUUAGCAUGGAAUAAUGAAAUAGGACGUUCGAUCCUAUUUUGUUGGUUUCUAGGAUUGACGUAAUGAUUAAUAGGGAUAGUUGGGGGCAUUAGUAUUCAAUUGUCAGAGGUGAAAUUCGUGGAUUUAUUGAAGACUAACUACUGCGAAAGCAUUUGCCAAGGAUGUUUUUGUUAAUCAUGAACGAAAGUUAGGGGAUCGAAGACGAUCAGAUACCGUCGUAGUCUUAACCAUAAACUAUGCCGACUAGGGAUCGGAUGAUGUUAAUUUUUUAAUGACUCAUUCGGCGCCUUACGGGAAACCAAAGUGUUUGGGUUC